Molecule: transfer RNA, 79 nt
Filed under: Marmota monax (woodchuck)
Lineage: Eukaryota; Metazoa; Chordata; Mammalia; Rodentia; Sciuridae
Description: tRNA.Val
Source: RNAcentral
GGGGUUAUGGCUCAGUGGUAGAGCGCUUGCAUGCUUGCCUCACACAUGCAAGACCCUGGGUUCGAACCUCAUCACCACA